RNAcentral lists this non-coding RNA (32 nucleotides) under Mus musculus (house mouse). Lineage: Eukaryota; Metazoa; Chordata; Mammalia; Rodentia; Muridae. The record is from RNAcentral.
UUNCAAGCUGUGUGGAAGAAAGGCAAGCCCUU